Long non-coding RNA from Arvicola amphibius (Eurasian water vole), 1839 nucleotides. RefSeq lists it as uncharacterized. The record is from RefSeq and is a predicted model, not a curated record. The transcript has 4 exons. NCBI's taxonomy places the organism in Eukaryota, Metazoa, Chordata, Mammalia, Rodentia, Cricetidae.
ACCCUUUUAGUAAUGGCUGUGUUCUUUAACAGGCAGCCUUGCUCGUUAACAUGAGACCAGAGGACUUCCUGGUGGUUUCCCACGUGUUCCUCCAGAACAAUCGGCCCAAAUGAUCCUUAGCCAUGUACUUAACUCUUAACGCUCCAGAAAAACAAGUGGGUGCUCUUUCCAAGUACCCGAAUAGGCCGGAUCUUGAAACAGAUUAACCAGCUGGUCUACCACUGAACUACACACACCGGGCUGUGGGCUUGCUGAGAAGAGUAUAUAAAUUGGCAGACUGCUCCACACUGGCUUUGAAAUCACUAUGGAAUCAAGACUAGUUUCAAACUUAGGAUUCUCCUGCCUCAGUUUUGCAGGUAUGCAUUUCAGAAUUCAUUUCCUGAAAAUGUCCUGAGUACUGGUUGCUAUGCCAUGGGCUUCCUAUGCCUUCUUCACCAAUUCCCUUAGGUACUACCAGCUCCAGAGGAACGAAAUUGAGGCUGAAAAAAAAGUCACCUGCUCAAAACUGCAGAGUUAGAAAGUGACAAGGCUGGGUUACCUGGAUGUGACUCUGAUACCCUUUCUGGAAGAUCUCUAUAGGUAAGAGAGACCAUCUUCUGGUGUUCCUACUACAGCAACGAAGAGCAGUUCUGCUGGAAAGAAAAAUGGUGCCCGUAUCCUGUAGCUAUCCGAGAGCUGAGCAGAGGAAAAAGUGUACCCCCAGGCGAAAGCACAGAAAUCCUACGCAUAUAAAAGCCCCAUGUUGUCUGGAAUGCUGGGAAAUGGCAAAUCCUAAGGCUGCUAGGCGCCUGUGUAGUCUUCACUAGCAACGGACGUUUCUGGCCCAAUCUAGCAAUGUCAGCCUUGGCCAUAACUUACCCAGGAGCACUACAGCUGUCGGAAGGAUAACCUAGGCUUUGCUCUCCACUCAUAGGUGUCUCCACCACAUCCAACCAGGCACAUAAGUAAAUCAUGAAUCUGAAACACUAUGAAUCUAUCAAACAAUGUACCUAUACUUACUCAGUCUGUCAUGGAGAUUUCUUUUUGGGUCAGGGGUGCCUUUGAAAACCCAAUGAGAAUGACUGUUGAUAGUGCAAGACACUGCGUGCAUGAGCAUCUCCAAGGUAGCUCUAUGGGGCCAGACAAGAAGGCCAGCACACUGUCUACAGGUUCUUGACACAGUUCAGAUUGCUAAUCUACGCUAACUGUUCUCAUGCCUUCCAAGAGACAGUACAGACACCGAAAGACUAGACAGUGAGAAAGCCAGCCUUCACAGUGUCAUAGCAAAUGGAAUGGAGCUGGGAGCCAAAAUAAACCUUCUCCCUUAUGUUGCUUUUGGGGAGCUGUUUUAUCAUAGCAACAGGAAUGGAGCUAACCCGAAAUACAAGGCAGAGGAAUACAGAGCCCAACCAGAUGGCAUGGCAGUGGCUGCAGUGAAAAUCGUGGAACCCCUGUCACAUGCAGCUGGAGAGCCCACAGGAACGUCAGUAAGAGCCGGCUGCCGCAACACAGGCAGAAGGAUAAAUGGAUUCUCCAGAGAGGAGGCUGGAGGAGGCUGUGGGAGCAGGGUCCCGGAAACAAGAGGCAAGUUGUCAAGUUUAACUAAAACGAAGAUCACUGGGAGCUGACAGGACACUAAAUAUUUAGAACCCUCCAAUUUGUGCUUAUUGUACAACUAAAGAAAUCAAGCUGCAGCUCUCCUAUGUUGUUCUUUAAGUUUGCAGAAGCUGGGAUGGGGAUUAGGAGUGUUUUCUGAAAGCUUUUAAGACCCUCUGAAAUUAUUAAUUUGGCUGUGGGGGGAGGGCUUUAGGGAGGAACCAACUAAGUUUUACAAAUAAAGAUCCCUUUAACCAGAGCCAG